Molecule: ribosomal RNA, 492 nt
Filed under: uncultured bacterium
Lineage: Bacteria
Description: partial 16S ribosomal RNA
Rfam family: Bacterial small subunit ribosomal RNA
Source: RNAcentral
AGUGAACGCUGGCGGUAUGCCUAACACAUGCAAGUCGAACGGCAGCACAGUAAGAUCUUGCUCUUAAGGGUGGCGAGGGGCGGACGGGUGAGGAAUACAUCGGAAUCUACUAUUUCUUGGGGAAUAACGGAGGGAAACUUACACUAAUACCGCAUACGAUGUAAGGCUGAAAGAAAUGGAUAUUGGGAGUUGGGUGGAUAGUAAGAGAGGUUGUCAGAUUAGCUAGUUGGGUGGGUAAAGGAACACCAAGGCGACGAUCCGUAGCUGGUCUGAGAGGAUGAUCAGCCACACUGGAACUGAGACACGGUCCAGACUCCUACGGGAGGCAGCAGUGGUGAAUCUUCCACACUAGCCCAAAUCCUCAUCCAUCCACACCUCGUAAGUUAAGAAGGCCUUCGGGUUGUAAAGCCCUUUUGUUGGGAAAGAAAAAAAUCAUCUUAAUACAUCCCUGUUCUAACCAUCCCCCAACAAUAACCACCGGCUAACUUCCUG